UUAAAACGUCGUGAGACAGUUUGGUCCCUAUCUUCCGUGGGCGCUGCAAGAUUGAGAGAGCCUGCUCCUAGUACGAGAGGACCGGAGUGGACACACCUCUGGUGUAUCGGUUGUCACGCCAGUGGCAUUGCCGAGUAGCUACGUGUGGAAGAGAUAACCGCUGAAAGCAUCUAAGCGGGAAACUCGUCUCAAGAUAAGUCUUGCCGGGGCCUUGAGCCCCCUGAAGGGUCGUUGUAGACCACGACGUUGAUAGGCUGGGUGUGGAAGCGCAGUAAUGCGUUAAGCUAACCAGUACUAAUUGCCCGAGAGGCUUGACCCU
This 319-nucleotide ribosomal RNA is filed under the name Rhodoferax sp. RNAcentral's name for it is "partial 23S ribosomal RNA". It matches the Rfam family "Bacterial large subunit ribosomal RNA", at positions 2611 to 2925 of the family's 2925-position model. The record is from RNAcentral. Lineage: Bacteria; Pseudomonadati; Pseudomonadota; Betaproteobacteria; Burkholderiales; Comamonadaceae.